CGGGGCGCAGCAGGCCGGAAAACUUUACAAUGCUGGGAACAGCGAUAAGGGAACCUCGAGUGCCAGGUUACAAAUCUGGCUGUCGUGAUGCCUAAAAAGCAUUAUAUAGCAAGGGCCGGGCAAGACCGGUGCCAGCCGCCGCGGUAACACCGGCGGCUCGAGUGGUAACCGUUAUUAUUGGGUCUAAAGGGUCUGUAGCCGGCCGGAUAAGUCUCUUGGGAAAUCUGGCAGCUUAACUGUCAGGCUUUCAGGGGAUACUGUCUGGCUCGAGGCCGGGAGAGGUGAGAGGUACUUCAGGGGUAGGGGUGAAAUCUUGUAAUCCUUGAAGGACCACCAGUGGCGAAGGCGUCUCACCAGAGCGGACCUGACGGCAAGGGACGAAAGCUAGGGGCACGAAUCGGAUUGGAUACCCGGGUAGUCCUAGCCGUAAACGAUACUCGCUAGGUGUCGGCCACGGUGCGACCGUUGUCGGUGCCGUAGGGAAGCCGUGAAGCGAGCCACCUGGGAAGUACGGCCGCAAGGCUGAAACUUAAAGGAAUUGGCGGGGGAGCACAACAACGGGUGGAGCUUGCGGUUUAAUUGGAUUCAACGCCGGAAAUCUUACCGGGACCGACAGCAACAUGAAGGCCAAGCUGAAGACUUUGCCGGAUUAGCUGAGAGGUGGUGCAUGGCCGUCGUCAGUUCGUACUGUGAAGCAUCCUGUUAAGUCAGGCAACGAGCGAGACCCACGCCCACAGUUGCCAGCGUACUCUCCGGAGUAACGGGUACACUGUGGGGACCGCCGCUGCUAAAGCGGAGGAAGGAAUGGGCAACGGUAGGUCAGUAUGCCCCGAAUAUCCCGGGCCACACGCGAGCUACAAUGGUUGGUACAAUGGGUAUCUACCCCGAAAGGGGACGGAAAUCUCCUAAAACCAAUCUUAGUUCGGAUUGAGGGCUGCAACUCGCCCUCAUGAAGCUGGAAUCCGUAGUAAUCGCGUUUCAACAGAACGCGGUGAAUACGUCCCUGCUCCUUGUACACACCGCCCGUCA
RNAcentral lists this ribosomal RNA (1029 nucleotides) under uncultured Methanosarcina sp. RNAcentral describes it as "bacterial SSU rRNA". It matches the Rfam family "Archaeal small subunit ribosomal RNA", at positions 326 to 1355 of the family's 1478-position model. Lineage: Archaea; Methanobacteriati; Methanobacteriota; Methanomicrobia; Methanosarcinales; Methanosarcinaceae. The record is from RNAcentral.